CACGGCCAGGAUUGGCCGCGGAUUGACCGGAGGGGGGUGCCGCGGGAUACCUGCGGCGCCCUUGCCCUGUUUGUCCCCGGAGGAGCCGGAGAGGGUCGCCAUCGCGAUCCUCUGUUCCGGCUCUUCCCAAAAGAGGACGCGGCCGAAGUCGGCUGGGGCUGCCGACUUCAACCCGUAUCUCACAUUCUCUCUCCCUUAGUAAAAUUUCAUCCUCGAAAUUUAACAUACCUUAGCUUGCAAAAAGGCCCAAAUAUUUUUCCUUCAUCUUGUCCUCCAGUUCCCAUGUAGCCUCACGUUCUGAGUAAUUACUCCACUAGAUCUUAACAUAAGAAAUUGUGCACCUCCUCAA
Molecule: long non-coding RNA, 349 nt
Filed under: Phoenix dactylifera (date palm)
Lineage: Eukaryota; Viridiplantae; Streptophyta; Magnoliopsida; Arecales; Arecaceae
Description: long non-coding RNA (PDAC_LNC001519)
Source: RNAcentral